UCACAUCAGAGACCAACCCUAACGCCACUGUCUCUGCUGUCUGCUACCGCCGGAAAUCGCCCACGGCGGCGGUAAGUCUCCAAACCACCCCAAAUUUAUACCGGAGCCACCCUCUCAUCUUGAAUCAACAAUUGUUUUUCCUCAAACAUACCUAAAAUUCCUCAAAUCUUCGUUUAAAAAAUGGAAACCUUAGCACCGCCCUUGUGCUCCAGUGGCCGCACCGUCUCUGUUCAAACCUAAAAUCACACCACUGAGCCCCCUUUCCUCCCUUAUCCCAAAACCCGUUUGGCUUCUCUCGAAUCCCUUUCAAAUGUUUCGAAUUUCAUAUCUAAGAAAGCCCUAAUUCCCAAAGAGGUCUCAUGUUUAUUGCUGUUUGAAAAUUUGGGGGAAUUUCGAUUUUAUUCGUUUGUUCUUAUUAAGAACACACGACUAACAUAGUAAGAGGCCAGAAAAUCUAAAGAAUCAGAAGUUUCGGUUCCUUCCUUCAUGCAUUGAGGUCUCCGUAGAUAUCUCUCCU
This 517-nucleotide long non-coding RNA is filed under the name Nicotiana benthamiana. Its description in RNAcentral is "long non-coding RNA (NBEN_LNC033174)". Lineage: Eukaryota; Viridiplantae; Streptophyta; Magnoliopsida; Solanales; Solanaceae. The record is from RNAcentral.